Molecule: transfer RNA, 73 nt
Filed under: Thermocrinis minervae
Lineage: Bacteria; Pseudomonadati; Aquificota; Aquificia; Aquificales; Aquificaceae
Description: Aquificaceae bacterium CR11 tRNA
Rfam family: tRNA
About the family: Transfer RNA (tRNA) molecules are approximately 80 nucleotides in length.
Source: Rfam by way of RNAcentral
CGGGGUGUAGCUCAGGUGGUAGAGCACCGGCUUUGGGAGCCGGGGGUCGCAGGUUCAAGUCCUGUCGCCCCGA